GAGACCCACGCCAACAGUUGCCAGCUCGUCCUCCGGGAUGAUGGGGACACUGUUGGGACCGCCUCUGCUAAAGAGGAGGAAGGAAUGGGCAACGGUAGGUCAGCAUGCCCCGAAUUACCCGGGCUACACGCGGGCUACAAUGGACAGGACAAUGGGAAUCGACACCGAGAGGUGAAGGCAAUCCCCUAAACCUGCCCUUAGUUCGGAUUGUGGGCUGCAACUCGCCCACAUGAAGCUGGAAUCCGUAGUAAUCGCGGAUCAACAUUCCGCGGUGAAUAU
RNAcentral lists this ribosomal RNA (279 nucleotides) under uncultured archaeon. Its description in RNAcentral is "partial 16S rRNA". It matches the Rfam family "Archaeal small subunit ribosomal RNA", at positions 1047 to 1325 of the family's 1478-position model. The record is from RNAcentral.